Molecule: non-coding RNA, 78 nt
Organism: Ipomoea nil (Japanese morning glory)
Lineage: Eukaryota; Viridiplantae; Streptophyta; Magnoliopsida; Solanales; Convolvulaceae
Source: Rfam
AGGAGUCGUAUGAGAUGAAAAUCUCAUGUACGGUUCUGGAAUAGCGACGAUAACAGUAAUGUUAUCAUCGACUAUGAU